RNAcentral lists this ribosomal RNA (85 nucleotides) under Legionella pneumophila. RNAcentral's name for it is "partial 16S ribosomal RNA". It matches the Rfam family "Bacterial small subunit ribosomal RNA", at positions 1453 to 1533 of the family's 1533-position model. Lineage: Bacteria; Pseudomonadati; Pseudomonadota; Gammaproteobacteria; Legionellales; Legionellaceae. The record is from RNAcentral.
UUUACCACGGUGUGGUUCAUGACUGGGGUGAAGUCGUAACAAGGUAGCCGUAGGGGAACCUGCGGCUGGAUCACCUCCUUACAUA